UACGUAGGGUGCAAGCGUUAAUCGGAAUUACUGGGCGUAAAGCGUGCGCAGACGGCUUUGCAAGACAGAUGUGAAAUCCCCGGGCUCAACCUGGGAACUGCAUUUGUGACUGCAUGGCUAGAGUACGGUAGAGGGGGAUGGAAUUCCGCGUGUAGCAGUGAAAUGCGUAGAUAUGCGGAGGAACACCGAUGGCGAAGGCAAUCCCCUGGACCUGUACUGACGCUCAUGCACGAAAGCGUGGGGAGCAAACAGU
RNAcentral lists this ribosomal RNA (253 nucleotides) under uncultured bacterium. RNAcentral's name for it is "partial 16S ribosomal RNA". It matches the Rfam family "Bacterial small subunit ribosomal RNA", at positions 524 to 776 of the family's 1533-position model. The record is from RNAcentral.